This 1645-nucleotide long non-coding RNA is filed under the name Eptatretus burgeri (inshore hagfish). Its description in RNAcentral is "lncRNA (ENSEBUG00000017109.1)". The record is from RNAcentral. Lineage: Eukaryota; Metazoa; Chordata; Myxini; Myxiniformes; Myxinidae.
GCCGAGAUUAGGGUCGGGUCAAGGCGAGCCCUGGGAACCCAAAUAUGGGAAAAAUAACAGGAAACUCGACGCUCCAGAGGGGAACUUGGACAACAAAACCGGUGCCUUUCAGCACAUGCUGGGCCGGGGAAAGGACAGUCGGACAAUGGAUCUGAUCGAGUGUGUUCCAAUUUGAAAGAAACCCUGAACCACAGCAAUGCCGGGAGAUAUGCCACAGACGCUGCUCAUUGAGAAAGCAGAUUCAAAAUGGAGGACGACUUCAGAUGUGGCUCGGGUCUUCGCUGGCAACACUGAGUUCACCAAUCUGCAAUUACCAUCAAAGGGUCAUCCACAUGGCAAAGAGAAGGAUAGAGAGUUGUUUGUGGGGAAAGAUGUCCCACCACUGCCUUCUUCCUCAUAUGAAUCUUCCAUGCUGUUACCAAGUGAUGAGGGAAGUACAGUUAAAACAGAAAGAAACAUGAUAACAGUUUCUAUGGAGAACAUCAACAGACCUGUAGUUACGGUAUCUGUGAUUGAACAGGGGGGUUUAGGAAAAACUUUGACUCAGCCUUCAUACUUCUCAUCAAAUGGGGUUAGUUUGUUGACCAAUGAAUGGAGGUUUCAAACAAGGCCCUCCUCAAAUUCUGAGAUUUUUCAAGCGCCUACAAAACCAUCAUUAUCAAACAAACUUCGGGGAAUAAGUACACUGAUGGGGAACAACGUGUCUAACGUUUCACAUCACAAGAUAAUGAGGAAAACAAGCACAUUAAAGGUGAGUAGACCUACAAAAGCAGAGGUAAUAUCUCGUCGAAUAGCACCCGCAACUUCUACAAGGUUUACAGCAAGUUAUUCAAAUUUUAUUACAAUGGAUAAAAGCAGGAAUGUAACAGUUCCAUCUCCUGUUAUAAAGUCACUGGAUAGUUUAUUUGUGGAAGGCGGCUUUACAACGCCGAUGAAACUUAGUGAAGAGCCAUCCACCUUAAAACCUUCACCACUGUCGCCUGCCACCAAGGUGGAUGUGACUUACGGUGGUGCUGGAUCAUCAGUUGAUGUUUCCAGAUGGAUGAAAAAAAUAUCAUAUGAUGGAACCUCUGCACCACGCAAAAGUGUUUCAGAGAACGAUGGAAACAUCAACAUGAAUGCGUUAUUUUCUUCAGCCACCGACAUUCCCUUGAUAGCUCCUUUAUCUGUAGCUUUGAUGGAAUCUCAAAGCAUUAUUCCAACCGAUUCAACAAUUUCUCAAAAAACCCGAAAGAAAGUUCCUUUAGAGAAGCCGCUGGAACAUGACAAACCAGUAAUAGAGAUGGUAUCAAGAACCACCUCGACAGUAAGUCAGUCACAAGCAUAUUCCCACUCGGACAGCUUUGUACAGACCCCUGAUCCAGGCAGAGUAGUAGCUGAGGUAAUGACUUCUUUCAGGAAUGUGACUCAGGCAAUGUCUGCUGUAUAUCCUGAUCAAGACAUGAAGACAGCAGUAAAACCAAAUGAUCUUCCAUCCUCCAUCGCUUCUCCAGUAACAACUCUGAAUGGUAAGAUGGACAUUUUCCGUUUUGUUUUGGAAAAUAUAAUUGUCAUUUGAUUCGACCGUAUCACGUAUUGUCAGCAAUUUAAACAUUUACGAUGGCUGCCACACCACCACAACUCAAUUGAAACAAAGCAUGGGGGG